GCAGCGACUGCUCAUGGUUAUUAAUCUCUCACCAUGGCCUGUGGAGUGUGUGUGUGUGUGUGUGUGUGUGUGUGUGUGUGUGUGUGUGUGUGUGUGUGUGUGUGUGUCGGGAUGUAUGCAGGUAUAUAUAUUGGGGAGCGGUGUGAGUGUGAGUAACUGGGCGUUAUACAGACUCCCCAUCAAGAUUUGCCUGUUGACCAUAGAGGAGUACUCCGGGGCCAGGAGCUCUGGAGUGGAGAAUAUGGACACAAAGACCCAGAAUGUCGGAGCUGGAAGACCCUACAGAACCCAGAACCCAGAAGAUUGUGAAACCUCAGAAUUUCAGAGUUGGCAGAGACUUCAGAGGUCAGCCAGAACAACCCAUAACUGAAGAGCUGAGAUUUCAUUCAACACACUGAUGAGUGGCUGUCCAGCCUGUUUGGCCCCCUACACAGGAAGGAACCCAGAAGCUACUGAAAGCAGCACUUUCUAGUGUUGGACAACUUGAAUUCUCAGGAUCACAAAAUGCCCAGAAUUGGAGACACUCUUCGCUAGCUUCCCCAGGGUGAUGGAUUUUCCAGCCUGAUUGAAAAGCAUCUCAGAGAGGCUGAGAUCUGUGUUGGCGGAGGGGCACCCACUUCACUGAAACCACAGACUGAAAUUCACCUACAAAGUACAGAAUGAUUCAAAUUCUAAUAGCACUUUAAUUCUAAUAGCACUUCUCCAUUUUACAGAGAAAGAAACUGAGGCUCUGAGAGGUUAAGUGGCACAGUUCAUCAGUGGUAUUAUUUCUGAGGCUGAAGCCAGAGAGGAAUGAGAAGGAUCCUGGCCUCUCCUCCACUGAUAUAACAACAGAGGAUUAGAAACUGGUGUGAAUGAGGAUGGCUGGGUUGUGUAUGCAGAGUCAUAGGUUAGCAUAGUCCCCUAUAGACUCCUCAGAAUCAUGUUUUUAUUAAUUUUAAAAUUUAAUUUAAUUUUUAAAAAUUUUAUUUAACAUUAUAUUGUCUUGCCUAUCAGACCAGGACUGUCUUUCAUCUUUCUUAAUCUCCCUAGAAUUUAGUACAGUGUCUAGCACAUAGUAAGUGCUUAAUAAAUGCUUAUUGACUGAAAAAAUGUGUAUUUAAGUAUUUUCCUAUGGUUACAUGAUUCGUGUUCUUUCCCUUUCCUCUUUCCCCUACCCCGUCCCAGAGCCGCUAAGCAAUUAUAUAUGGAUUAUCACUCAAUCUCUACUUCCAUAUUAAUCAUUUUGGUAAUAAUCUUUUAAAAACCAAAGCCAGAAUUAAAUGAACGAGAUAAAAUACGUAGAAUUACCAAGGAAUCCUGUUGAAAUAUAGUUCUCCACCUAUAUUGUUAAAAACCAAACCAAACCAAGUAGUAGCUCAUGCUAAGAGCCCCUCGGGAGGACCCUCCCCCUGUGGACAGAGAAGCCAGCUCUAGAUUCUUAUGGUCUGAAAUGGACCUUGGGGACAAUUAGAUCCAAACUUU
Long non-coding RNA from Monodelphis domestica (gray short-tailed opossum), 1464 nucleotides. RefSeq lists it as uncharacterized. The record is from RefSeq and is a predicted model, not a curated record. NCBI's taxonomy places the organism in Eukaryota, Metazoa, Chordata, Mammalia, Didelphimorphia, Didelphidae.